AGAAUCAACGCUGGCGGCGUGCCUCAGACAUGCAAGUCGAACGCGAAAGCCCCCUUCGGGGGCAAGUAGAGUGGCGCACGGGUGAGUAACACGUAGGUAAUCUACCUUUGGAUGGGGAAUAACAACCGGAAACGGUUGCUAAUACCGCAUAAUGCAGCGGCACCUAAUAGUGACAGUUGUUAAAGCGGGGGAUCGAAAGACCUCGCGUCUGAAGAGGAGCCUGCGGCGGAUUAGCUAGUUGGUAAGGUAACGGCUUACCAAGGCAACGAUCC
RNAcentral lists this ribosomal RNA (272 nucleotides) under uncultured soil bacterium. RNAcentral describes it as "partial 16S ribosomal RNA". It matches the Rfam family "Bacterial small subunit ribosomal RNA", at positions 26 to 282 of the family's 1533-position model. The record is from RNAcentral.